This 420-nucleotide ribosomal RNA is filed under the name uncultured fungus. RNAcentral's name for it is "eukaryotic LSU rRNA". It matches the Rfam family "Eukaryotic large subunit ribosomal RNA", at positions 1 to 422 of the family's 3401-position model. Lineage: Eukaryota; Fungi. The record is from RNAcentral.
GACCUCGGAUCAGGUAGGGAUACCCGCUGAACUUAAGCAUAUCAAUAAGCGGAGGAAAAGAAACCAACAGGGAUUGCCUUAGUAACGGCGAGUGAAGCGGCAACAGCUCAAAUUUGAAAUCUGGCCUCAUGGUCCGAAUUGUAAUUUGUAGAGGAUGCUUCGAGCAUGGUCUGGUCUAAGUUCCUUGGAACAGGACGUCAUAGAGGGUGAGAAUCCCGUAUGCGACUAGGUGCCUAAGCUCAUGUGAAGCUUCUUCGACGAGUCGAGUUGUUUGGGAAUGCAGCUCAAAAUGGGUGGUAAAUUUCAUCUAAAGCUAAAUACUGGCCAGAGACCGAUAGCGCACAAGUAGAGUGAUCGAAAGAUGAAAAGCACUUUGGAAAGAGAGUUAAACAGUACGUGAAAUUGUUGAAAGGGAAGCGC